AGGCCCGUCAGAGAACAGAAGGAACAUGCGGUCCUGUGGCUUCAGGGCAGUCCAUCCGGGGAGGGGUAAGCCUGUCCCCGAGGACCCUUGUGGUCACAAACUCUCACAUCCUCCCGAUGAGGGGACGACACCCGUGUGUGUUGCCCUGCAGGCUCCCGGGCACCUCCUGAAUGUUCCGUGUGACGCACACUAGCAUGGGCUCUUUAAUGUCUCAUCCAGACUUCUCCCGUCAUCACUGAAAACCAACCACUGGCUGUCAGCACACACAUGGGAAAUGGGAGAACUCACGGUAUGAAGGUGUCAGAAGACAAAGUGAAGCCCCACCACCUGCUCCCACCACGGCAGGGAGGCAGGGAGGCCGGGAACCCGCUCACGGCCUGCUGCCAGGAAGUGCACAAGAUUUUAGGGAAUGAAUGCUGUCGACUAACCUCACCAGUCCCUCCGUCUCACUGUCCCGGACCCUCACUGCGUCUCUUCAUCUUGCUUCACUGUGUAAUAUGCGUCUCUGGAAGCUCCCUUCAAUCACUUUUUGAAAAAGAAGUUGAGGUGUACAUGAAUCAACUUGUAUCAUGUGGGUGCCAAAAGCUUUUUGGCAAAAGAACAGAAGGCGAAAACGUCUCGGGUGCACCCCGUUAUCUGUGUUCUCCAGAACAGUCCACCACGAACGCACUGCGUGGGGACAGCUGCUGUCAGGGCGGGAAGGCCAGCACAGUCCUGAACAGAGGACUGAAGGAAAUAAUAAUGUCUGUGUUCAUCCCCAAAGCAGAAGAACUGGUACACACCCUUAAAUAAUGCAAUAUUGUUGUUAACGACGGCAUUAAAUACUGUGUUGCCUCUCAGA
Myotis brandtii (Brandt's bat) is the source of this 841-nucleotide long non-coding RNA. RefSeq lists it as uncharacterized. The transcript is spliced from 2 exons. Lineage: Eukaryota; Metazoa; Chordata; Mammalia; Chiroptera; Vespertilionidae. The record is from RefSeq and is a predicted model, not a curated record.